This 1729-nucleotide ribosomal RNA is filed under the name Salmonella enterica. RNAcentral describes it as "partial 23S ribosomal RNA". It matches the Rfam family "Bacterial large subunit ribosomal RNA", at positions 711 to 2421 of the family's 2925-position model. Lineage: Bacteria; Pseudomonadati; Pseudomonadota; Gammaproteobacteria; Enterobacterales; Enterobacteriaceae. The record is from RNAcentral. RNAcentral also lists the same sequence under 1 other name.
AGACCCGAAACCCGGUGAUCUAGCCAUGGGCAGGUUGAAGGUUGGGUAACACUAACUGGAGGACCGAACCGACUAAUGUUGAAAAAUUAGCGGAUGACCUGUGGCUGGGGGUGAAAGGCCAAUCAAACCGGGAGAUAGCUGGUUCUCCCCGAAAGCUAUUUAGGUAGCGCCUCGUGAAUUCAUCUCCGGGGGUAGAGCACUGUUUCGGCUAGGGGGCCAUCCCGGCUUACCAACCCGAUGCAAACUGCGAAUACCGGAGAAUGUUAUCACGGGAGACACACGGCGGGUGCUAACGUCCGUCGUGAAGAGGGAAACAACCCAGACCGCCAGCUAAGGUCCCAAAGUCAUGGUUAAGUGGGAAACGAUGUGGGAAGGCCCAGACAGCCAGGAUGUUGGCUUAGAAGCAGCCAUCAUUUAAAGAAAGCGUAAUAGCUCACUGGUCGAGUCGGCCUGCGCGGAAGAUGUAACGGGGCUAAACCAUGCACCGAAGCUGCGGCAGCGACACUGUGUGUUGUUGGGUAGGGGAGCGUUCUGUAAGCCUGUGAAGGUGUGUCGUGAGGCAUGCUGGAGGUAUCAGAAGUGCGAAUGCUGACAUAAGUAACGAUAAAGCGGGUGAAAAGCCCGCUCGCCGGAAGACCAAGGGUUCCUGUCCAACGUUAAUCGGGGCAGGGUGAGUCGACCCCUAAGGCGAGGCCGAAAGGCGUAGUCGAUGGGAAACGGGUUAAUAUUCCCGUACUUGGUGUUACUGCGAAGGGGGGACGGAGAAGGCUAUGUUGGCCGGGCGACGGUUGUCCCGGUUUAAGUGUGUAGGUGUGUGUUCCAGGUAAAUCCGGUUCACUUUAACACUGAGGCGUGACGACGAGGCACUACGGUGCUGAAGCAACAAAUGCCCUGCUUCCAGGAAAAGCCUCUAAGCAUCAGGUAACAUCAAAUCGUACCCCAAACCGACACAGGUGGUCAGGUAGAGAAUACCAAGGCGCUUGAGAGAACUCGGGUGAAGGAACUAGGCAAAAUGGUGCCGUAACUUCGGGAGAAGGCACGCUGACACGUAGGUGAAGUGAUUUACUCAUGGAGCUGAAGUCAGUCGAAGAUACCAGCUGGCUGCAACUGUUUAUUAAAAACACAGCACUGUGCAAACACGAAAGUGGACGUAUACGGUGUGACGCCUGCCCGGUGCCGGAAGGUUAAUUGAUGGGGUCAGCGCAAGCGAAGCUCCUGAUCGAAGCCCCGGUAAACGGCGGCCGUAACUAUAACGGUCCUAAGGUAGCGAAAUUCCUUGUCGGGUAAGUUCCGACCUGCACGAAUGGCGUAAUGAUGGCCAGGCUGUCUCCACCCGAGACUCAGUGAAAUUGAACUCGCUGUGAAGAUGCAGUGUACCCGCGGCAAGACGGAAAGACCCCGUGAACCUUUACUAUAGCUUGACACUGAACAUUGAGCCUUGAUGUGUAGGAUAGGUGGGAGGCUUUGAAGUGUGGACGCCAGUCUGCAUGGAGCCGACCUUGAAAUACCACCCUUUAAUGUUUGAUGUUCUAACGUGGACCCGUUACCCGGGUUGCGGACAGUGUCUGGUGGGUAGUUUGACUGGGGCGGUCUCCUCCUAAAGAGUAACGGAGGAGCACGAAGGUUGGCUAAUCCUGGUCGGACAUCAGGAGGUUAGUGCAAUGGCAUAAGCCAGCUUGACUGCGAGCGUGACGGCGCGAGCAGGUGCGAAAGCAGGUCAUAGUGAUCC